UAGCAGUUUGGCCCCAUUGGCUGUCUGC
This 28-nucleotide small RNA is filed under the name Bombyx mori (domestic silkworm). RNAcentral describes it as "ovarian small RNA-22286". The record is from RNAcentral. Lineage: Eukaryota; Metazoa; Arthropoda; Insecta; Lepidoptera; Bombycidae.